GGGGAAUUUUGCGCAAUGGGCGAAAGCCUGGCGCAGCAACGCCGCGUGUGUGAUGAAGGUCUUUGGAUUGUAAAGCACUUUCGACCGGGACGAAAACCCGUUGGCUAACAUCCAACGGCUUGACUGUACCGGGAGAAGAAGCACCGGCUACCUCUGUGCCAGCAGCCGCGGUAAUACAGAGGGUGCAAGCGUUGUUCGGAAUUAUUGGGCGUAAAGCGCGUGUAGGCGGCGUGACAAGUCGGGUGUGAAAGCCCUCAGCUCAACUGAGGAAGUGCGCCCGAAACUGUCGUGCUUGAGUGCCGGAGAGGGUGGCGGAAUUCCCCAAGUAGAGGUGAAAUUCGUAGAUAUGGGGAGGAACACCGGUGGCGAAGGCGGCCACCCGGACGGUUACUGACGCUGAGACGCGAAAGCGUGGGGAGCGAU
This 423-nucleotide ribosomal RNA is filed under the name uncultured bacterium. RNAcentral's name for it is "bacterial SSU rRNA". It matches the Rfam family "Bacterial small subunit ribosomal RNA", at positions 356 to 772 of the family's 1533-position model. The record is from RNAcentral.